Molecule: small nuclear RNA, 282 nt
Filed under: Castor canadensis (American beaver)
Lineage: Eukaryota; Metazoa; Chordata; Mammalia; Rodentia; Castoridae
Description: 7SK RNA (ENSCCNG00000001476.1)
Rfam family: 7SK RNA
About the family: 7SK was discovered as an abundant small nuclear RNA in the mid-70s but a possible function has only recently been suggested. Two independent studies have found that 7SK RNA binds the CDK9/cyclin T complex (known as elongation factor P-TEFb). P-TEFb activates transcription by phosphorylating the C-terminal domain of RNA polymerase II.
Source: RNAcentral
GGAUGUGAGGGCGAUCUGGCUGCGACAUCUGUCACCCCAUUGAUCGCCAGGGUUGAUUCGGCUGAUCUGGCUGGCUAGGCGGGUGUCCCCUUCCUCCCUCACCGCUCCAUGUGCGUCCCUCCCGAAGCUGCGCGCUCGGUCGAAGAGGACGACCAUCCCCGAUAGAGGAGGACCGUUCUUCGGUCAAGGGUAUACGAGUAGCUGCGCUCCCCUGCUAGAACCUCCAAACAAGCUCUCAAGGUCACCUGGAAAAGCUGUCUGAGUGGCUCAAACUGUAAGAGU